This 166-nucleotide long non-coding RNA is filed under the name Eurytemora carolleeae. RNAcentral describes it as "uncharacterized LOC111716898". The record is from RNAcentral. Lineage: Eukaryota; Metazoa; Arthropoda; Copepoda; Calanoida; Temoridae.
UUCUUAAACACUUUGGAAACGAAGACCAACAUGGGAAAUAUAUUGAAUGUACUGAAAACAUGUGGUUCAGGGUACGCUGAUAUAGAAGAGGAUUUUCUGAUAUUUCUAGAUUUUGAGGGAAUCAAGCAGGGAUUUCAGGAUAUAGAGGGAAUAGAUUCAAGGAAUG